Podarcis lilfordi (Lilford's wall lizard) is the source of this 75-nucleotide non-coding RNA. The record is from the annotation of a GenBank genome assembly. NCBI's taxonomy places the organism in Eukaryota, Metazoa, Chordata, Lepidosauria, Squamata, Lacertidae.
GGAGGGGCCACAGCCCAGUGGCAGAGCAUCUGUCUUGCAUGCAGAAGGUCCCAGGUUCAAUCCCAGACAUCUCCA